AACACAUGCAAGUCGAGCGGCAGCACAGAGAAACUUGUUUCUCGGGUGGCGAGCGGCGGACGGGUGAGUAAUGCCUGGGAAAUUGCCCUGAUGUGGGGGAUAACCAUUGGAAACGAUGGCUAAUACCGCAUGAUAGCUUCGGCUCAAAGAGGGGGACCUUCGGGCCUCUCGCGUCAGGAUAUGCCCAGGUGGGAUUAGCUAGUUGGUGAGGUAAGGGCUCACCAAGGCGACGAUCCCUAGCUGGUCUGAGAGGAUGAUCAGCCACACUGGAACUGAGACACGGUCCAGACUCCUACGGGAGGCAGCAGUGGGGAAUAUUGCACAAUGGGCGCAAGCCUGAUGCAGCCAUGCCGCGUGUGUGAAGAAGGCCUUCGGGUUGUAAAGCACUUUCAGUCGUGAGGAAGGUG
This 407-nucleotide ribosomal RNA is filed under the name Vibrio vulnificus. RNAcentral's name for it is "bacterial SSU rRNA". It matches the Rfam family "Bacterial small subunit ribosomal RNA", at positions 50 to 453 of the family's 1533-position model. The record is from RNAcentral. Lineage: Bacteria; Pseudomonadati; Pseudomonadota; Gammaproteobacteria; Vibrionales; Vibrionaceae.